AUUGAACGCUGGCGGAAUGCUUUACACAUGCAAGUCGAGCGGCAGCGCGGGGGCAACCCUGGCGGCGAGCGGCGAACGGGUGAGUAAUACAUCGGAACGUGUCCUUAAGUGGGGAUAGCUCGGCGAAAGCCGGAUUAAUACCGCAUAAGCUCUGAGGAGGAAAGCGGGGGCGUCCGUAAGGACCUCGCGCUGUUGGAGCGGCCGAUGUCGGAUUAGCUAGUUGGUGGGGUAAAGGCCCACCAAGGCGACGAUCCGUAGCUGGUCUGAGAGGA
This 272-nucleotide ribosomal RNA is filed under the name uncultured bacterium. RNAcentral describes it as "partial 16S ribosomal RNA". It matches the Rfam family "Bacterial small subunit ribosomal RNA", at positions 30 to 300 of the family's 1533-position model. The record is from RNAcentral.